GCCCGCCUAGCUCAAUCGGAUAGAGCGUCAGACUCUUAUAUAUCUGGGCGUAUGGUGAAAUCUGAAGGCUGCGAGUUCGACCCUCGCGGUGGGCU
Mucidula mucida is the source of this 95-nucleotide non-coding RNA. NCBI's taxonomy places the organism in Eukaryota, Fungi, Basidiomycota, Agaricomycetes, Agaricales, Physalacriaceae. The record is from the annotation of a GenBank genome assembly.